This 465-nucleotide ribosomal RNA is filed under the name uncultured bacterium. RNAcentral's name for it is "partial 16S ribosomal RNA". It matches the Rfam family "Bacterial small subunit ribosomal RNA", at positions 339 to 795 of the family's 1533-position model. The record is from RNAcentral.
CUACGGGUUGCACCAGUGAGGAAUUUUGCGCAAUGGGGGGAACCCUGACGCAGCAACGCCGCGUGAGUGAUGAAGGCUUUCGGGUCGUAAAGCUCUGUCAAGUGGGAAGAACCUAUGCAGUGUUAAUAUCACUGUAUACUGACGGUACCACUGAAGGAAGCACCGGCUAACUCCGUGCCAGCAGCCGCGGUAAUACGGGGGGUGCAAGCGUUAUUGGGAAUCAUUGGGCGUAAAGGGCACGUAGGCGGCUUGGUAAGUCAGAUGUGAAAGCCCGGGGCUUAACCCCGGAAGUGCAUUUGAUACUGUCAGGCUUGAGUAUGGGAGAGGGAAGUGGAAUUCCUGGUGUAGAGGUGAAAUUCGUAGAUAUCAGGAGGAACACCGGUGGCGAAGGCGACUUCCUGGACCAAUACUGACGCUGAGGUGCGAAGGCGUGGGUAGCAAACAGGAUUAGAUACCCUUGUAGUC